GAUGAACGCUAGCUACAGGCUUAACACAUGCAAGUCGAGGGGAAACGAUGAGAGAGCUUGUUCUCUUAGGCGUCGACCGGCGCACGGGUGAGUAACGCGUAUCCAACCUGCCCAUUACAGGGGAAUAACCUCGCGAAAGUAAGACUAAUGUCCCAUGGUAUUCCCAGCAGACAUCUAAUGAGGAUUAAAGAUUUAUCGGUAAUGGAUGCGGAUGCGUCUGAUUAGCUUGUUGGCGGGGUAACGGCCCACCAAGGCAACGAUCAGUAGGGGUUCUGAGAGGAAGGUCCCCCACACUGUGACUGAGAUACGGACCAGACUCCUACGGGAGGCAGCAGUGAGGAAUAUUGGACAAUGGUCGGAAGACUGAUCCAGCCAUGUCCGCGUGCAGGAUGAAGGGCCUAUGGAUUGUAAAACUGCUUUUGUAAGGGAAGAAUAAGGAGAACGUGUACUUUGAUGACGGUACCUUACGAAUAAGCAUCGGCUAACUCCGUGCCAGCAGCCGCGGUAAUACGGAGGAUGCGAGCGUUAAUCCCGGAGUCAUUUGGGUUUUAAGGGGGCCGGAGGGGGGCUGAUAAAGUCAGAGGGUGAAAGCGCUUAGCUCAACUAAGCAACUGCCUUUGAAAAUGUCAGUCUUGAAUGAUUUGAAGUAGUUGGAAUGUGUAGUGUUUCGCUGAAAAGGUUAGGAAAUUACACAGAAAACCGGUAGCGAAGGCUUUUUACUUACAAUUUUUUUGACGCUGAUGGACCAAAGCGCGGGAGGAAAAGGAAUAGAUAACCCUUUAGUCCAAGGCAAAUUCCCUUUGGCGGGGGCCCGGGGUACCCUUGGUCUAAGCGGGCGGCCCGGGGGCCCCAUUUCCCUUUUGUGGGGUGAAAAAACGGGGUCUUGCAAAAGUUUAAAGAGUCGUGACUGAAAACCCUGGUUUACCCAACUUAAUCGCUUGCAAGAAAAUCCCCUUUCGGCAAGAUGGAUAAAUAGCCAAAAUCACCCCACGAAUAAAUUUGGGCAGAAUUUUUUCCA
Molecule: ribosomal RNA, 1018 nt
Filed under: uncultured Prevotella sp.
Lineage: Bacteria; Pseudomonadati; Bacteroidota; Bacteroidia; Bacteroidales; Prevotellaceae
Description: bacterial SSU rRNA
Rfam family: Bacterial small subunit ribosomal RNA (bases 1-851)
Source: RNAcentral